GAUGAACGCUGGCGGCGUGCCUAAUACAUGCAAGUCGAGCGAACGGACGAGAAGCUUGCUUCUCUGAUGUUAGCGGCGGACGGGUGAGUAACACGUGGAUAACCUACCUAUAAGACUGGGAUAACUUCGGGAAACCGGAGCUAAUACCGGAUGAUAUUUUGAACCGCAUGGUUCAAAAGUGAAAGACGGUCUUGCUGUCACUUAUAGAUGGAUCCGCGCUGCAUUAGCUAGUUGGUAAGGUAACGGCUUACCAAGGCAACGAUGCAUAGCCGACCUGAGAGGGUGAUUGGCCACACUGGAACUGAGACACGGUCCAGACUCCUACGGGAGGCAGCAGUAGGGAAUCUUCCGCAAUGGGCGAAAGCCUGACGGAGCAACGCCGCGUGAGUGAUGAAGGUCUUCGGAUCGUAAAACUCUGUUAUUAGGGAAGAACAUAUGUGUAAGUAACUGUGCACAUCUUGACGGUACCUAAUCAGAAAGCCACGGCUAACUACGUG
This 497-nucleotide ribosomal RNA is filed under the name uncultured bacterium. RNAcentral describes it as "partial 16S ribosomal RNA". It matches the Rfam family "Bacterial small subunit ribosomal RNA", at positions 28 to 507 of the family's 1533-position model. The record is from RNAcentral.